UGGGGGAUAUUGCACAAUGGGCGAAAGCCUGAUGCAGCGACGCCGCGUGGGGGAUGAAGGCUUUCGGGUUGUAAACCUCUUUCGCUAUCGAACAAGGCCCGCUUAGGGUGGGUUGAGGGUAGGUGGAGAAGAAGCACCGGCUAACUCCGUGCCAGCAGCCGCGGUAAUACGGAGGGUGCAAGCGUUAAUCGGAAUUACUGGGCGUAAAGCGCACGCAGGCGGUUGAUUGAGUCAGAUGUGAAAUCCCCGGGCUUAACCCGGGAAUUGCAUCUGAUACUGGUCAGCUAGAGUCUUGUAGAGGGGGGUAGAAUUCCAUGUGUAGCGGUGAAAUGCGUAGAGAUGUGGAGGAAUACCGGUGGCGAAGGCGGCCCCCUGGACAAAGACUGACGCUCAGGUGCGAAAGCGUGGGGAGCAAACAGG
Molecule: ribosomal RNA, 420 nt
Filed under: Chloroflexota bacterium
Lineage: Bacteria; Bacillati; Chloroflexota
Description: Chloroflexi bacterium partial 16S ribosomal RNA
Rfam family: Bacterial small subunit ribosomal RNA
Source: RNAcentral